This 84-nucleotide non-coding RNA is filed under the name Pseudomonas sp. FeS53a. The record is from RNAcentral. Lineage: Bacteria; Pseudomonadati; Pseudomonadota; Gammaproteobacteria; Pseudomonadales; Pseudomonadaceae.
CGUCAUGGCAGAUCGCGCGGGGAGACCCUCGGGUCUGCCGGGUCCUGUAACCGGUCUGUCAACCCCGCGCGGUUUGCCACCCUU